UUCUAUUUGAAGAGUCCACCUUUGUGGAUGUUUUCUUUUAUUAUCAUUUAACUAAUUCAAUUUUAUAAAAAUAAAUCAGUGCUUUUGUCUGCAUCCUUCUUUACAAAGCCUGUGCAGCUUAUUGGACUCCCUACCCCAGAAGUGGAUCUUAAAAAUGGGUAUAUUAACAUAACAAAAAAUAAAAUAUUUCCCAGGUGCUAAAUAUUAGACCCUCUUAACUGUUUCUAAAAGGAUUUUUUUCUCCUUUAUAUGGUUUCCUCCUUCCUUUACAUGACAUUUCAAAAUAAAUUAUCCUUGACCUUGUGUGGUCAUUAACAAAUUUCAAUCGCUUAGUGCCAUUGAUUGGUGUCCACAGCUGGUGCCACGUCUAUGGAAUGUGGGUGAAAGCGAUCAUGGCUGUGCUCGAAGAAGAGGUAUUACAAAGAGGAGGGAAGAAGAAGGCCUUCUUCACAUGUCUUUCCCGAGUCUUGACUGAAACUAUACUGACCAUUGGCUCCGGGAUAGGACAUCUGUUCUAGCAUGCCUGGCUCCAGUUUCUUCCUAGGUUUCUGAUAUUGUCUUUCCUAAGCAUUUUCUGCUGAAAUGAAGGCCUUCUCAGCGCCUAAACCCAGGCUGCUAUGCUACUAUAGAAAGUCCCACAACUGGUCAGACUGUUGUCUCCAUAAAAGGAUGGCCAUCAUCUUCAGCUGCGCUCUUGAAAUGGAACUGCCUGGCAAGCUUCUAUGUUUCCCUGACACUGAACUCAUCAUUAUUGUCAGCAUCAGUCAUCAUGGUGAGUCACCAUUAUUACCAUCAGAGCCAAGCAAAAAUAUUCGGGACUCAUGAGCAAUCCAUUGCCAGUGCAAGUGUCUUCUGUUCUUCUUAGUGUACCCACUGAGAUUUGGGGUUCGGGCAACUGGAGCAAAUACUGAUACUCUGGCUGCUGCUGUUGCCCCAUGCCCGAGUGUUGUCCUCAAGUGGAUUCGACCCAAACUUCUGCGAGAUAAAGGCUUGAUCAUAACCAGGAGACAUCAGGUCAUCUCAGGGGACAAGCCACAGACUUCGACAGUUUCUUCAGUGACCCACGCACGGGUAGGACAUUCCACAACAGUUCUUGGAUCCUAGCACGAGGCCAUGUAGGGAAAACAAUGCUCUAAAACCAGCACUUGCAAAACUGUCUCUCAAGACUGUUCCCUUCCCAUCAAAUUAUGAGGAUCUAUCCAGGCUCUGGUAUUGUCAGGACGAGGGCCCUCUCCAGCUUCGCUCACCAACCUGUGCAUAAGAUGUUGCCAGAGCAUUGUCUCAGCAAUCCCAAGACCUGUGCAAGCCCCUGUUGGCACCCUUCCAGGACCCUGUCCCAUACUUGUAGACUCUUCUCGAGCACAGCCUUGACUGGAGAUGAACUGACUCCACAGUCCCACGCUCAUCAUCACUUGGCCUGAGAAGGC
RNAcentral lists this long non-coding RNA (1427 nucleotides) under Equus asinus (donkey). Its description in RNAcentral is "lncRNA (ENSEASG00005023919.1)". The record is from RNAcentral. Lineage: Eukaryota; Metazoa; Chordata; Mammalia; Perissodactyla; Equidae.